This 395-nucleotide ribosomal RNA is filed under the name uncultured bacterium. RNAcentral describes it as "partial 16S ribosomal RNA". It matches the Rfam family "Bacterial small subunit ribosomal RNA", at positions 523 to 918 of the family's 1533-position model. The record is from RNAcentral.
AUACGUAGGGUGCAAGCGUUAAUCGGAAUUACUGGGCGUAAGGCGUGCGCAGGCGGUUUUGUAAGACCGAGGUGAAAUCCCCGGGCUCAACCUGGGAACUGCCUUUGUGACUGCAAGGCUAGAGUAAGGCAGAGGGGGAUGGAAUUCCGCGUGUAGCAGUGAAAUGCGUAGAUAUGCGGAGGAACACCGAUGGCGAAGGCAAUCCCCUGGGCCUGUACUGACGCUCAUGCACGAAAGCGUGGGGAGCAAACAGGAUUAGAUACCCUGGUAGUCCACGCCCUAAACGAUGUCAACUGGUUGUUGGGUCUUCAUUGACUCAGUAACGAAGCUAACGCGUGAAGUUGACCGCCUGGGGAGUACGGCCGCAAGGUUGAAACUCAAAUGAAUUGGCGGGG